RNAcentral lists this ribosomal RNA (234 nucleotides) under Triticum aestivum (bread wheat). RNAcentral describes it as "partial small subunit ribosomal RNA". Lineage: Eukaryota; Viridiplantae; Streptophyta; Magnoliopsida; Poales; Poaceae. The record is from RNAcentral.
AUGGAUGGAGGAGUAGCGGGCAACCUCGACGUCCGUGGAGUUGGAGGGCGGGCUGAGGCGGUCGAAGGAGUAGACGAGCUUGACGAGAUUGGAGCUUGGGAGGAUGUGGAGCUAGGUGGAGAGGAAGAAGCCAAACUGGGAGAGGUCGAUGUCAGGCGCAUCCUGUCUGAGGCGACUGGCAAUACCACCGUAAAGUUUGAAAUAAAUUUGGAAAAUAUGCAAGCACAGGUGUAA